Molecule: long non-coding RNA, 527 nt
Organism: Capsicum annuum
Lineage: Eukaryota; Viridiplantae; Streptophyta; Magnoliopsida; Solanales; Solanaceae
Exons: 4
Source: RefSeq, a predicted model, not a curated record
AGAAACGACUGUGAAUACUUCAGCAGAAGAUGAGUCCAAGGAUAAUGAAGGUGCUGCUGAAAAGAUUUUAAAUCCAGUUGAAUCUAAUAUGGAUAACUCAAAGUUGAAUCAACAAAAUCAGUCUCCGGUCCACAUUCAUGUAGCGUUAACUGAACAAAGAAAAGAUGAACAAAAUUUUUUAGAUUCGCAAGUCACUAUUCCUGAUGAGCUUUUACCGAGUCUUAAUGUAUAUUUGAAUCAAGAAAGAAAAUAAUUGGACAUCCAUCGGCAAACAAAGCACAAGAAACGCCCAUGCAUGUAUCAAGGAUUAAGCGACCAUCUAGAUUCAAAGAGUCACCAUUCACAAUGAAUUUUGGUUCAGCGGAUGAAGGGGAGUGCAAAAUAUUCUAUCAGAAGCAUCCAUUCGUAUCUCAUCCGGUUAAUGAUAUAGAAUACACUAAGGUUACCAACAAGUUUCUGAAGUGGCUGUCUGUGGAUAUUCUUAAAUUUCAUGCAAAAAAAAGCAACAAGCAAGAACACUAUAAGAA